Molecule: non-coding RNA, 22 nt
Filed under: Rattus norvegicus (Norway rat)
Lineage: Eukaryota; Metazoa; Chordata; Mammalia; Rodentia; Muridae
Source: RNAcentral
CGUGUGCUGCUGCAAGUGCACU